Molecule: ribosomal RNA, 490 nt
Filed under: uncultured bacterium
Lineage: Bacteria
Description: bacterial SSU rRNA
Rfam family: Bacterial small subunit ribosomal RNA
Source: RNAcentral
AAUGAACGUUGGCGGCGUGGAUUAGGCAUGCAAGUCGUACGCACAGCUUCGGCUGUGAGUGGCGCAAGGGUGAGUAAUGCGAAGGGUAACCAACCCUGGUGUUGGGCAUAACCGCGGGAAACUGCGGGUAAUUCCCAGCGACGUCGCGAGAUGGCAUCAUCUUGCGACCAAAGGUGUGAUUCCGCUCUAGGACGGGCCUUCGUGGUAUUAGGUAGUUGGUGAGGUAACGGCUCACCAAGCCGACGAUGCCUACCGGGUGUGAGAGCAUGACCCGGCACACUGGAACUGAGACACUGUCCAGACACCUACGGGUGGCUGCAGUCGAGAAUCUUCGGCAAUGGGCGAAAGCCUGACCGAGCGACGCCGCGUGAGGGAAGAAGGCCUUCGGUUGUAAACCUCUUUCGUAGAGGAGGAAGGGGCCGUGCAGAGCGGUCUUUGACCUAUUCUAGGAAGAAGCUUGGGCUAAGUUCGUGCCAGCAGCCGCGGUAAU